This 1177-nucleotide ribosomal RNA is filed under the name metagenome. RNAcentral describes it as "bacterial SSU rRNA". It matches the Rfam family "Eukaryotic small subunit ribosomal RNA", at positions 613 to 1783 of the family's 1831-position model. The record is from RNAcentral.
UUGCAGUUAAAAAGCUCGUAGUUGGACUUGUGUGCGCUGUCCGCGGGUGGCCUGCGCCCAAAAGGGCGUUUCGGUUCGGCCCCGGUGGCGCCUUGAAAUCUGCAGCUGGGGGGACGUUGGCCUUAACUGGUCGGCGACCGCACGCCGGCUGCUCGGUUACUGUGAGAAAAUUAGAGUGUUCAAGGCAGGCAUUGGGUGCAAUUGAAUACAUUAGCAUGGAAUAAUAAAAUAUGGCUCCUGCCGUAUUUUGUUGGUUUUGACUGGUGGGAGUAAUGAUUGAUAGGGACGGUUGGGGGUGCUAGUAUUGAGCGGCCAGAGGUGAAAAUCAUGGAUUCGCUCAGGACAAACUUAUGCGAAAGCAUUCACCAAGGACGUCCUCUUUAAUCAAGAACGAAAGUUGGGGGAUCGAAGACGAUCAGAUACCGUCGUAGUCUCAACCAUAAACUAUGUCGACUUGGGAUCGGCGGUAGUUUUUUCAUUAAGACACUGUCGGGACCACGGGAGAAAUCAAAGUGUCUGGACUCUGGGGGAAGUAUGGUCGCAAGGCUGAAACUUGAAGGAAUUGACGGAGGGGCACCACCAGGAGUGGAGCCUGCGGCUUAAUUUGACUCAACACGGGGAAACUUACCAGGUCCAGAGAUGUAGAGGAUUGACAGAUUGAAGCUCUUUCUUGAUCACUUCGGUGGUGGUGCAUGGCCGUUCUUAGUUGGUGGAGUGAUUUGUCUGGUUAAUUCCGUUAACGAACGAGACCUCAGCCUGCUAGUGUAGUCGGCUGGAUUGCCUUUGGCGAUCCGUGAUUUCGACUUCUUAGAGGGACAAUCGACGCGCAGUCGAUGGAAGUUUGAGGCAAUAACAGGUCUGUGAUGCCCUUAGAUGUUCUGGGCCGCACGCGCGCUACACUGCUGGGCUCAGCGAGUUCUACUUGGCCGAGAGGCCCGGUUAAUCUUGUGAAAUCCCAGCGUGCUUGGGCUCGCCUCCUGCAACUGGAGGCGCCAACGAGGAAUUCCUAGUAGACGCAGGUCAUCAACCUGCAUCGAUUACGUCCCUGCCCUUUGUACACACCGCCCGUCGUUCCAUAAGAGUGAGGCAUCCGGUGAAUUCUCGGGAGAGCCUGGGCGUGGCCAGCAAUGGUCUGCUCGGGUUUGAACUUGCAUAAACUUGGUGCCUAUGAUCAGGG